This 404-nucleotide ribosomal RNA is filed under the name Actinomycetes bacterium. RNAcentral's name for it is "Actinobacteria bacterium partial 16S ribosomal RNA". It matches the Rfam family "Bacterial small subunit ribosomal RNA", at positions 355 to 776 of the family's 1533-position model. The record is from RNAcentral. Lineage: Bacteria; Bacillati; Actinomycetota; Actinomycetes.
UGGGGAAUAUUGGACAAUGGGCGCAAGCCUGAUCCAGCCAUGCCGCGUGAGUGAUGAAGGCCCUAGGGUUGUAAAGCUCUUUCACCGGUGAAGAUAAUGACGGUAACCGGAGAAGAAGCCCCGGCUAACUUCGUGCCAGCAGCCGCGGUAAUACGAAGGGGGCUAGUGUUGUUCGGAUUUACUGGGCGUAAAGCGCACGUAGGCGGACUUUUAAGUCAGGGGUGAAAUCCCGGGGCUCAACCCCGGAACUGCCUUUGAUACUGGAAGUCUUGAGUAUGGUAGAGGUGAGUGGAAUUCCGAGUGUAGAAGUGAAAUUCGUAGAUAUUCGGAGGAACACCAGUGGCGAAGGCGGCUCACUGGACCAUUACUGACGCUGAGGUGCGAAAGCGUGGGGAGCAAACAGG